GAUGAAGAACGUAGCGAGAUGCGAUACGUAGUGUGAAUUGCAGAAUUCAGUGAAUCACCGAAUCUUUGAACGCACAUUGCGCCCGCCAGUAUUCUGGCGGGCAUGCCUGUUCGAGCGUCAUUUCAACCAUCAAGCCCCCGGCUUGUGUUGGGGACCUGCGGCUGCCGCAGGCCCUGAAAAGCAGUGGCGGGCUCGCUGUCACACCGAGCGUAGUAGCAUACAUCUCGCUCUGGGCGUGCUGCGGGUUCCGGCCGUUAAACCACCUUCAUAACCCAAGGUUGACCUCGGAUCAGGUAGGAAGACCCGCUGAACUUAAGCAUAUCAAUAAGCGGAGGA
This 336-nucleotide unclassified non-coding RNA is filed under the name soil metagenome. Its description in RNAcentral is "partial contains 5.8S ribosomal RNA, internal transcribed spacer 2, and large subunit ribosomal RNA". The stretch from base 1 to 120 matches the Rfam family "5.8S ribosomal RNA", at positions 35 to 154 of the family's 154-position model. The record is from RNAcentral.